Humulus lupulus (European hop) is the source of this 234-nucleotide long non-coding RNA. RefSeq lists it as uncharacterized. The record is from RefSeq and is a predicted model, not a curated record. Lineage: Eukaryota; Viridiplantae; Streptophyta; Magnoliopsida; Rosales; Cannabaceae. The transcript is spliced from 2 exons.
UUUGGCAUCGACUCCUUUUGGAUUGGCCCGAUCAUUGUCAUGGCUUGAUAUGAAUGGAGGAGUCUGCAAUGAAGACACGAAGUGUGUUGGUUUUGCUAGAAUUGGAAGUGAAGAUCAGAUCAUUGUGGCUGGUACAAUGAAGCAACUUCAAGUGCAUGAUUUUUUCCUAUCAAAUAGUACUGUAGGAGUGUGCAACUACUCAAAUUUUGAUGUGUUAUUAUGUAAAAAAUUAAA